AGCGAACGCUGGCGGCAGGCCUAACACAUGCAAGUCGAACGGAUCCUUCGGGAUUAGUGGCGGACGGGUGAGUAACACGUGGGAACGUGCCCUUUGGUUCGGAACAACUCAGGGAAACUUGAGCUAAUACCGGAUGUGCCCUUCGGGGGAAAGAUUUAUCGCCAUUGGAGCGGCCCGCGUCUGAUUAGCUAGUUGGUGAGGUAACGGCCCACCAAGGCGACGAUCAGUAGCUGGUCUGAGAGGAUGAUCAGCCACACUGGGACUGAGACACGGCCCAGACUCCUACGGGAGGCGGCAGUGGGGAAUCUUGCGCAAUGGGCGAAAGCCUGACGCAGCCAUGCCGCGUGAAUGAUGAAGGUCUUAGGAUUGUAAAAUUCUUUCAGCGGGGACGAUAAUGACGGUACCCGCAGAAGAAGCUCCGGCUAACUUCGUG
Molecule: ribosomal RNA, 433 nt
Filed under: uncultured bacterium
Lineage: Bacteria
Description: partial 16S ribosomal RNA
Rfam family: Bacterial small subunit ribosomal RNA
Source: RNAcentral